AUGGGGAGCUUUGGGGCUAAAAAGAAGAAAUUGAUCUUUGUAGGGGUAGCUACUUUAAUUUGGAGCAUCUGGAAAACCAGGAACCUGGCUUGUUUUCAACAUGUCUGGCCUGCUGAUCCUAGUGUGGUGAUUUUUAAGAUGACACAUUGGAUUAAUGACUGGAGUAACUUGCAGGUGAGGGACUGCUGGAACGAGUCGCCAAUGAUAUCUUUCAAGCGCGACGAAGCAGGGCAUCUUGGAUUCCAAGGAUUGCUGGGUGAAAAAUGA
This 267-nucleotide ribosomal RNA is filed under the name Triticum aestivum (bread wheat). Its description in RNAcentral is "partial small subunit ribosomal RNA". Lineage: Eukaryota; Viridiplantae; Streptophyta; Magnoliopsida; Poales; Poaceae. The record is from RNAcentral.